Molecule: ribosomal RNA, 457 nt
Filed under: uncultured bacterium
Lineage: Bacteria
Description: bacterial SSU rRNA
Rfam family: Bacterial small subunit ribosomal RNA
Source: RNAcentral
UACGGAAGGCAGCAGUGGGGAAUAUUGCACAAUGGGCGAAAGCCUGAUGCAGCUAUGCCGCGUGUAUGAAGAAGGCCUUAGGGUUGUAAAGUACUUUCAUCGGGGAGGAAAAAACAAAACUAAUAAUUUUAUUUCUUGACGUUACCCGAAAAAGAAGCACCGGCUAACUCCGUGCCAGCAGCCGCGGUAAUACGGAGGGUGCUAGCGUUAAUCAGAAUUACUGGGCGUAAAGAGCACGUAGGUGGUUUUUUUAAGUCAGAUGUGAAAUCCCUGGGCUUAACCUAGGAACUGCAUUUUGAAACUGGAAAUACUAGAGUAUCGUAGAGGGAGGUAGAAUUCUAGGUGUAGCGGUGAAAUGCGUAGAUAUCUGGAGGAAUACCUGUGGCGAAAGCGGCCUCCUAAACGAAUACUGACACUGAGGUGCGAAAGCGUGGGGAGCAAACAGGGAUUAGAUACC